AGCAUAGAAGUAGCAAUACGUUGGUGGCGACCGGCGCGACGGGUGAGUAACGCGUAUGCAACCUACCUAUCAGGAGGGGAAUAACCCGGCGAAAGUCGGACUAAUACCGCAUAAAACAGGGGCACCGCAUGGUGAUAUUUGUUAAAGAAAUUCGCUGAUAGAUGGGCAUGCGUUCCAUUAGGUAGUUGGUGAGGUAACGGCUCACCAAGCCGACGAUGGAUAGGGGAACUGAGAGGUUGGUCCCCCACACUGGUACUGAGACACGGACCAGACUCCUACGGGAGGCAGCAGUGAGGAAUAUUGGUCAAGUGGGCGGGAGCCUGAACCAGCCAAGUCGCGUUGAAGGAAGAAGGAUCUAUGGUUCGUAAACUUCUUUGCAGGGGAAUAAAGUGCAGGACGUGUCCUGUUUUGUAUGUACCCUGAGAAUAAGGAUCGGCUAACUCCGUGCCAGCCGCCGC
Molecule: ribosomal RNA, 458 nt
Filed under: uncultured bacterium
Lineage: Bacteria
Description: bacterial SSU rRNA
Rfam family: Bacterial small subunit ribosomal RNA
Source: RNAcentral